AGAUCCACAGAAGGGCACAUGGUGGAUGCCUAGGCGCAACAGGCCGAAGAAGGACGCGGCCACGCGGCGAAAUGCACCGGGGAGACGCUGGCAGUCUGCGAUCCGGUGGUCUCCGAAUGGGGCAACCCGUCAGGGUGAUGCCUGACACCCGGCCCAGCCGGGAGGGAACCGGGGGAACUGAAACAUCUCAUGUACCCCGAGGAACAGAAAAGAUUCCCGUAGUAGCGGCGAGCGAACCGGGAGGAGCCGAAACCACACCAGCGCACGAGGCUGCCGCCGCUGCUGGGGUGGGGUUGUACGAGACAUGAGGAGCGACCGGCAGGAAGCUCGUUGGAGGCGGAUGGCAAGCCGAACGCUGCUGGAAGGGGCGACCGGAGGGGGUGAGAGUCCCGUAGGCGAGCGCCAUUCGCGGACGAUGUCAUGUGAUCGUCAGUACCGCCGGACACGCGAAAUCCGGUGGGAAGCAGGGCCGCCCACGGCCCAAGGCUAAAUACCUGUUGCGACCGAUAGCGAACCAGUACCGUGAGGGAACGGUGAAAAGCACCCCGACAAGGGGAGUGAAAGAGACCCUGAAACCAUGUGCCUCCGGCCGGUCGGAGCCUUCUUUGAUGGGGGUGACGGCGUGCCUUUUGUAGAAUGAGCCAACGAGUAAUUCGGCGUAGCGAGGUUAAGGCGGCGUACAGCUGGAGCCGGAGCGAAAGCGAGUCCGAAAGGGCGGAUGAGUUGCGUUGAGUUGACCCGAAACCGGGUGAUCUACCCUUGGGCAGGGUGAAGCGCGCGGAACACGCGCGUGGAGGCCCGAACCCGUGUCAGUUACAAAUGGCAGGGAUGACCUGAGGGUAGGGG
This 846-nucleotide ribosomal RNA is filed under the name Gemmatimonadota bacterium. RNAcentral describes it as "Gemmatimonadetes bacterium (soil metagenome) partial 23S ribosomal RNA". It matches the Rfam family "Bacterial large subunit ribosomal RNA", at positions 1 to 821 of the family's 2925-position model. Lineage: Bacteria; Pseudomonadati; Gemmatimonadota. The record is from RNAcentral.